RNAcentral lists this ribosomal RNA (169 nucleotides) under uncultured bacterium. RNAcentral describes it as "partial 16S ribosomal RNA". It matches the Rfam family "Bacterial small subunit ribosomal RNA", at positions 338 to 524 of the family's 1533-position model. The record is from RNAcentral.
CCUACGGGAGGCAGCAGUGGGGAAUAUUGGACAAUGGGCGAAAGCCUGAUUCAGCCAUGCCGCAUGAGUGAAGAAGGCCUUUGGGUUGUAAAGCUCUUUUAGUGAGGAAGAUAAUGACGGUACUCACAGAAGGAGUCCUGACUAACUCCGUGCCAGCAGCCGCGGUAAU